RNAcentral lists this unclassified non-coding RNA (266 nucleotides) under Hevea brasiliensis (rubber tree). Lineage: Eukaryota; Viridiplantae; Streptophyta; Magnoliopsida; Malpighiales; Euphorbiaceae. The record is from RNAcentral.
AUGUGCCCAUGACCCGAGUUGUAAUGUGAGAGUUGCCAUUUAUGGGGCCCAAUUUGGCCAGUCCAAAGUCUGAAAGUUUGGCGUUGUAGUCCCCAUCCAACAAGAUGUUAGAGGUCUUAAAGUCCCUGUAGAUGACACUCUUUUCUGAGGUGUGCAAAAAGGCAAGGCCUUGAGCUGCCCCAAUUGAUACUCUAAGUCUAACAUCCCAUGGAAGUGGCUCUGCACCCUUUCUGAAGAGGUGAUUUUCCAAGCUUCCCUUCUGCAUG